UCCGCAUGGUAGAACUAUUAAAGAAUUUCGGUCAUCGAUGGGGAUGCGUUCCAUUAGGUUGUUGGCGGGGUAACGGCCCACCAAGCCUUCGAUGGAUAGGGGUUCUGAGAGGAAGGUCCCCCACAUUGGAACUGAGACACGGUCCAAACUCCUACGGGAGGCAGCAGUGAGGAAUAUUGGUCAAUGGACGAGAGUCUGAACCAGCCAAGUAGCGUGAAGGAUGACUGCCCUAUGGGUUGUAAACUUCUUUUAUACGGGAAUAAAGUGAGGCACGUGUGCCUUUUUGUAUGUACCGUAUGAAUAAGGAUCGGCUAACUCCGUGCCAGCAGCCGCGGUAAUACGGAGGAUCCGAGCGUUAUCCGGAUUUAUUGGGUUUAAAGGGAGCGUAGGCGGACGCUUAAGUCAGUUGUGAAAGUUUGCGGCUCAACCGUAAAAUUGCAGUUGAUACUGGGUGUCUUGAGUACAGUAGAGGCAGGCGGAAUUCGUGGUGUAGCGGUGAAAUGCUUAGAUAUCACGAAGAACUCCGAUUGCGAAGGCAGCUUGCUGGACUGUAACUGACGCUGAUGCUCGAAAGUGUGGGUAUCAAACGGGAUUAGAUACCCUGGUAGUCCACACAGUA
Molecule: ribosomal RNA, 619 nt
Filed under: uncultured bacterium
Lineage: Bacteria
Description: bacterial SSU rRNA
Rfam family: Bacterial small subunit ribosomal RNA
Source: RNAcentral